Amphimedon queenslandica is the source of this 373-nucleotide long non-coding RNA. RefSeq lists it as uncharacterized. The transcript is spliced from 2 exons. NCBI's taxonomy places the organism in Eukaryota, Metazoa, Porifera, Demospongiae, Haplosclerida, Niphatidae. The record is from RefSeq and is a predicted model, not a curated record.
UAAAAAUAGAAUCGCUCUGUUGUAGAUCUAUCUCUUUCUUCUUUAAAAAUGAGUGUCUCUUCAGAGGAUGUCACCCGAUUGCAAUUGUUUGAUGACAUGAUGUCAAAGUUUGAAAAUGAGGAGAGCCCUCCAUUUGUUGGCUAUGAUCCAUCUCAUCCAACUAUCUUUCUAACAUUAUUCAAGUGGUAUGAUGAUCCUGAGAAAGCUGCUGAACAACUCAUUGAAUUGUAUCCUCAUGACCUCCCUUAAUCCAUAGAUAUAUAUAUAUUUAUGCUUUAUCCCAUUCUCCCACAGCCCCAACCCUGAUGCCCCAUUACAUUAGUAGCACACUUAUAGCACAGUGUUUACCAUUGAUGAUCUUAUAGGUACAAAA